Molecule: long non-coding RNA, 814 nt
Filed under: Malus domestica (apple)
Lineage: Eukaryota; Viridiplantae; Streptophyta; Magnoliopsida; Rosales; Rosaceae
Description: long non-coding RNA (MDOM_LNC010496)
Source: RNAcentral
GCACUCGUUACUAUGAUUUGCAUGAAACUUAUGCCAAGAAUUUACUUAACGUGAUUGUGACUAGCAACCUUUACUACUUGUGAAUAUAAGUUCAUAACGAUUAGGUGAAAUUCACUUAUAUUCUAGCAUCAAAUUCAUGCAUGUAAAUUAAGUAUGCAUCCUUAAUCGACAUACAAAAAUAAGUUAUAAAUCAAGCAGUUAAGCAAAUUAAAUCACAACUCAGAAAUCACAACUGAAGGUAAUCAAUUCAUAUUACAAAUAUAUUCAUGGCUUGAAUUAACCUCUAGCCAAAAUAAAUUUAGUUACACAUUAUUAUCAAAUUAAACCAGAAAUUAAACAUAAGUUGGAAAGUUUUAACCGAAAGAGUAGAAGCUUGCUGUUUCUGUUUCUGUCCGUGCUCUCACGCUGGUUCUGCCCUCAGUAGGGCAGCUUUCCUUUCCUGCCCACCGCCUCUGCACGUCACCUUGUUUCACGCUGCCAAGAGCAGCAAGAGCUCUCGGUUCUCUCCCUCUGACUUCUGUCCGCACAGUUUUCUGUGCUGCCCGUGCCUUCUCGGUUUUCUGCUGCCGCAAGGCAGCUGUCUCUUCGUCCAGCCUUCUCUCCCCGCGUCAAUCUCUCCCCACGCUGCCCACUUUGACUAACCUCUGGCUGCGCCAGUCUCUUGCUGCCAAAGGCAGCACCUAAUCUCUCCCUUUCGUUACUGACUUGCUGACCAGUCCUUGCUCAAGCUGCCAAAUGGCAGCCCCUAUUCUUUCCUUCUGUGGACUGUCAGUCUCGCUGCCAAAGGCAGCUCUCUACCUUCCACCAAUCCCCC